RNAcentral lists this ribosomal RNA (569 nucleotides) under Colletotrichum karsti. RNAcentral's name for it is "eukaryotic LSU rRNA". The stretch from base 193 to 346 matches the Rfam family "5.8S ribosomal RNA". Lineage: Eukaryota; Fungi; Ascomycota; Sordariomycetes; Glomerellales; Glomerellaceae. The record is from RNAcentral.
GAAUGAAGCGGGAGGCAGCCGAUGACAUAUCAAUGAGCGGAGGAGAUGCUGAGGAAGGUAGGCCGGCAACAUUAAAUGAGAAGUCCCGGCCCGGACCGGACCCCCCGCGGGAUUCUAACCGGCGCCCGCCGGAGGAUAACCAAACUCUAUUGUAACGACGUUUCUUCUGAGUGGCAUAAGCAAAAUAAUCAAAACUUUUAACAACGGAUCUCUUGGUUCUGGCAUCGAUGAAGAACGCAGCGAAAUGCGAUAAGUAAUGUGAAUUGCAGAAUUCAGUGAAUCAUCGAAUCUUUGAACGCACAUUGCGCCCGCCAGCAUUCUGGCGGGCAUGCCUGUUCGAGCGUCAUUUCAACCCUCAAGCUCUGCUUGGUGUUGGGGCUCUACGGUCGACGUAGGCCCUCAAAGGUAGUGGCGGACCCUCCCGGAGCCUCCUUUGCGUAGUAACAUUUCGUCUCGCACUGGGAUCCGGAGGGACUCUUGCCGUAAAACCCCCCAAUUUUCCAAAGGUUGACCUCGGAUCAGGUAGGAAUACCCGCUGAACUUAAGCAUAUCAAUAAGCGGAGGAAACG